Molecule: ribosomal RNA, 407 nt
Filed under: uncultured bacterium
Lineage: Bacteria
Description: bacterial SSU rRNA
Rfam family: Bacterial small subunit ribosomal RNA
Source: RNAcentral
UGGGGAAUCUUGCGCAAUGGGCGAAAGCCUGACGCAGCGACGCCGCGUGUGGGAUGAAGGCCUUCGGGUCGUAAACCACUGUCGCGAGGGACGAAUAAAUUGACGGUACCUCGAAAGGAAGCACCGGCUAACUCUGUGCCAGCAGCCGCGGUAAUACAGAGGGUGCGAGCGUUGUCCGGAAUCACUGGGCGUAAAGGGCGCGUAGGUGGCUGUGUAAGUCGGGGGUGAAAUGCUGCGGCUCAACCGCAGCGCUGCCUCCGAGACUGCACGGCUUGAGCACGGUAGAGGCCGAUGGAAUUCCCGGUGUAGCGGUGGAAUGCGUAGAGAUCGGGAAGAACACCGAUGGCGAAGGCAGUCGGCUGGGCCGUUGCUGACACUGAGGCGCGACAGCGUGGGGAGCAAACAGG